Molecule: long non-coding RNA, 6985 nt
Organism: Cygnus olor (mute swan)
Lineage: Eukaryota; Metazoa; Chordata; Aves; Anseriformes; Anatidae
Exons: 2
Source: RefSeq, a predicted model, not a curated record
UCAAAUUUUUAUUUUGACAUACAAGAGCAGAAAAGAUGUUGCUCAGCAAUAAAAACAUCAGCUCCUACAACUGGCUAUAGCUCACCAUUUUGCAGAGGAAAAUUAUGAUUACUUCCAGGUCAAAGAAUUGCAUGAAAACUGGCUGUGUGGGGGAUCUGUUGCUCCUAGUGGGAUAAAAGCCCAGUGUAGUCCCAGUUUAGCUGCAGAGAUGUGGUUAAAAUGGCAACGAGUUCUCCCACGGUGAAUGUAGUUUGCAUGUAGCUGCACCUGUAAGAGUAAAUUGAUUCCUCCACUUUGAUCAGCUUAAUAUUUGUAUUACAUGCAUGUGAAGUCUGAAAUCACUAGCUAAUACUAUGAAAACAGGGAAAAAAUGUGAAAUGGCUGAAAUUUUGUUUUGUCCUAGUAUAUGAAUCUUGGCAUUGAAUGGAUUUGGGACAACUCUGUUAUAUGAGACCUCUGAAAAAAGGCUCAAUUGAUAGUUCAGCUCCAAAAUGGAGUCAUAAUAGCAAGGUUUUAUCAGCUCGGCCACUGUCUUGCUUUGUGGUACUGGACUAACUCCUCAGUUUUAUUCUGUGCACUUGUUUCCUCUUCUGGUUGUGAUUGCUUGGAGAAUAACCUGGUUUUGUUUGGCAACGCUGAGUUUCUAGUUUGGGGGUAUUAGGAGAGGUCAAAAUACUAUUUAGAAGUUGGUUGUUCAGUUCAUAGUCCUUUAACGUGUUUUUAUGAACUUUUUUUAAAGGACUGAAUAGUAGAUUCUCCUGCCUGAAGUUUUAUUGCACUAUAGGAAACCAAACAGCUUCCUGAGUUUUAAAAAGCAAAAAUCUGUAGUGCCUUUGAAUAGAAGAGGAAAUGGUCUGUUUAUUAGAACCCCUUCAACUAUGUAUGUACUGACAGAAAUUGAAAAUAUCACGUCCCUAACGUUGUUUAAACCUGGGGAAAUUAUUCUUCAGGGGAUGAAACUGCUUUUUCUUUCCUUGCCUAGGAGGAACAAAAUGCGUUUUGGCAGUUAAAACCCCCAUCUCCGUUUGUCUCUCAGCCCCUAGUUUAACAGUGAGUCUUAGUGAAAUCUUCAAACGUGCGGCAGCCCUACCCUGAGUCUGCCCAAGUCAAAUGCACGUGGUUCUUGGGGAACAGCAGCAGAAAUUAUUGCCCCGAGCAGUUUGUUCUUCCCUGCAGCUGGGACUUACUCCUUCCCUCCUCUCUGCACCCCUGCAUCACCAGGGAGGACUGAGCGUCUGGAGGCUCCUUCAGCAGCUCCAGGGCAGAGCCAGGCUGGGCUGCGUGCACCGGAGGCCAGAGGUGUCCCAGCUCCGCUCUGGGACAGGCGGCUUCAUCCCUGCAUCCCCAUGGAUCCCUGGCACUGACGGUACCUGCCAGAUUCACAAGAGGUCGUGGGCCAUUCCCUGCUACCAAACAGAUUUAUCCCUUCUGAGCAGGGGCUGAGGCCUCAGCGUUAACAAGCAGCAGCUUGUUCGGGCUGAGUUUUCUGCUGGUUAUAACUGUCCGUGGGGUUUUUCUCUGAAGGGACCUUUGGUUCUUCCCCAGGCUCCCCUCUGCAUCUGUGAAGUUGGCCUUACUGAGGUUUUCAUGCUUUGGCAGUGGCACUGAGUCCGCCAAAUUGUAGCCCAGCUUCGCACAGAGCUGUGUGUGUGUUGGGGGGGCGGUUAAAAACCUGAUUUCCCUGUAUUCAGGCAACAGCUUUUCUUUCUAAACAUUUCCCUUUUCAGAAUAAAGCAAACCCAAGGUGCUUUCACUCAGCCGUAGGCGCUGUGCUGCGUGGAGCCGGAAAGGCGGACAAGUGCUGGCCGCGUGCUGGCUGCCGGGGCUGCGCUGCCAGCACAGGGCAGUGAUAGUUGAAGGUGAACACCUGCACCACGCGAUGAACCGCACAAUAUUGCUUUUCUUCAGAAGAUCAUUAGGCGGGCCGAGUCAGCAGGCUAGACAGCAGCAGAGGCUGUAGCUGGCUGGGGGCACGGCUCCACCCCACAGCUGGCGGGCCUCACACCCCUGGGGCCCUGGGGUGGCAGCCAGCACAGUAGCCAGUCCCCUUUUUGGCACUCUCCUGAGUGCUAGGUUGGAAUCCUGCCUUGUUGCUGCAUUCAGGGCAGAUGGAAGAAGAGAGUCCUUAUUCCUUUUUUCCUUGUGAACUUCAUCUGGAGCGGAGCGCAGGAUCUGGGCCUGCGCUUCGAGCCCGGCACAGAUAUUUCUUUACUACAUGCUCACAGUUUGCUUGCUAGCAAUCCCUGCAAAGCUGCUGGCAGAAGAGAUGUGAUCAAAGGGAAGUUGUAUUGUUGUCUGUGUUCUGUUUUUUCCAGGUUCUUUCUAAAGCUCUAACCUCAUGAAAUAAGUUACCUGAUUUGGGGAGGGGGGGUAAAUAUAAAGCAACCCCUUCUCCUGCAAAAUUUUAACGUGGUAAAUUCAAACUUGUUUUGAAAACUUAAAUAUUGAAGGUGUCUCUCUCUCGUCUAUAUGUUGAAAUGUAUAUAUGUAAUAUGCAUUUAUAAUACAUGUGUAUAUGAAUUACAUUGCACCAACAGUCAGUUGUGCAGGUACAGAUGACAUCUGUUAGAUGUGUGAGGAUUUCAUCCUGCUCACAGCUGAAACCUGUAGAUAUGUGAACCCUGCCAUUUCCACCUCUCAUUGAGGAAUAUCAGAAAAUCAGAAAGCCAGACUGAUGCUGCUUAAAACAAGGAAGUAUAUGGUCGUACUUACUAAGUUACAUCCCAGAAUCAUUGUUAUUCAAUGCUAAGUUCACAAAGUUAAGUACCCGGCAGUUAGGAAGUGCCACAGCUGAGGCUUCCUGUGCAGCUUUUUGGUUCUUUAUGUGCCACAUGUUACGGUACAGUCCCCAGUUACGUGGCUCUGUUCUUUUUCUCUCUCGCUAUUGCUUCAUUUGGCACCUGAUGCUCAGUGAAUGAGAUGCUGUUUAAGAUGGUGUGUAAUUUCUGUAGAUCAGAUGAAGGCCACCCACCUUUAUUGUUGCUCACUGUUAAAACCUUGUUCUGAAGACAGCCUAAAUACUUUCCUUUCAGAUUCUUGAUGCUCCUCACUGACACUAGAAUGCUCCGCAUGCAUGUCAUUAACUGUCUUUCAAGCACCCCUAUUAGCAAAGUAGUGGUCUGUCUCCAUUCUGAAAGGGGGAGGAAACUAAGGCACACAACUGUCGAAAUUCGAAGCAUCUUUGUGUUAGGUAUGCCAUUUUUCAGUCCUUAAUAUUAUACACAGUUCUUAAAAUAAUGGAAGAAUCCUCUCCAUCGUGAUAGUUGUCGCAAGUUGAUGCUGAUCAAAUCAAAAGUACUUAAUCAGUGGCAACCUGCAGAAAUUAGAUUCGUGUUCCGCAUUCAGCAGCAUCUGUAAACUCCUCUGACUGGGAAUUGAAAAAAAAAAAGUUGUUCUUCUGGCAUCAUUCAUUUACCUUAAAUAUUAGCGGUUCUCUUCUCUUCUCCUCUCGCAGCCCUCUGCCUUGUGUAUUUAACACACAUGUUCUGACAAAUGAGGCAGUCAUUCUUCUGCCUCAUUACACAGCCUCGAUUCAUCCCCAGGGUAUAGUCCAUCUUUACAUCGGGUGAAGAAGAGAUCGAGACGGGAGAGAGGAAAAUGUAGGGUCACCUGGGACUUGGGCAGCUCUGUUUUGUGGCCAGAAGGAUUGAUGAAGGAAUGAUGUGCGGUGCUGGAAAGGCAAGAAUGACAAACAGCAGCCCUGCGGUCACUUUGAAAGGCCUGAGUAAGCGUUUGCAGUGCCUCGUCCUGGGAAUGCUGAAUGCUAACACUUCACCUGCCGCCUGGGAGUCCACUUUCCCCAGGGAGCCUUCCCUGGGGGUGCAGCUGGAGGAGGCUGAGCUGGAGGUAAGGCACCAAGGCGGCUCUUCUGCAGCUCUCCCAGCGCAGAGAGCUGCCUGCCAGCGUUUGCUGGUAGAGAAACUCUUCUCUGAACUGAGCAAAGUCGCAGUAGACUUUAUAGCCAAAGUCGGUAUGAUUUGUUUGCAAAGUUAAACACUGCUUUUUCUGAACUGCUGAAAUAAAUAAGAGCAAAUCGUGUGAGGUCAUAGAGUUCUGCCUUUCCAAGCUGCUUCAGCUGUGCUCCCAGAGCAGCUUCGCUUCUCAGCUCCCCUCCACCGUGGCCAGAAAGCCUCCGCUGGGCCAGCCUGGGGAGAGGAAGGUUUGUUGCCUCUGUGCUCCGUGUUCUGAAACCAGCGGCUGGGAGAAGAGCUGCAGUGCAGCCACCCUUUUUCCCCGAUAAAUGACGGGGCAGUCUGGGGAAGGCAGAGGGUCUUUGCAAACUGGAGGUGCGAGUGACUUGUGCUGAAGCUCCUGCUUGGCCGGCUGCAUGCUGUGCUGUACACAAAGGCCCCCGCAGGUUUAUAUUAAGGUGCUGCCCAGACUAAACCAGUGCAUUUUUUUCUUUUUCCCCCUCUAAAUGCCUUUUUAUCAUUCAGGCUGUCACCUGUGUUUCCUGGCAAAGGCUGCUGGCUGGGGGAGGUCUGGCAGAGCUGAACGCCCAGCUUGGUGGUCUUUGUGUGGCUGCCUGAAAGAUGGCUUAAAACAGAACCUGCUCUGUGAAUACCUGCGAGUUAACAUGUGUCAGCCGUGUGGCUGGAAGGUUUCUCCUCUGCUGUAAAGAGAGAUUUUAUAAUGAAUACUUUCCUUGUGAUUAAAAUGGGUAGAUAAACAAAUAGUUCCUACAGGAAGUAUACUGUAUGAAGACAGGGCAAAUAGAUUGUAGCUCUCCAAACAAGGAAAGGGAGAGGGGAAAAAAAAAAGGGAAAAAAAAAACCCGCCAAGCUCCUCCUUAGUGCAUUUAAUCUAUUAGAAUGUGAAAUAGCAAUUUAUCUUUCCCAUUUCCUUUCCUUGUCAAACAUAUACAGCUGUUGGAGCUUUCUCUGUUCCUUACUAGAAAUGCCAGGACUUGAAUUUGUUGAUGCCGUCCUCUGGAGUAUCGCUGCUUUUAUCAUCUUUCCAUGGUACCAGUUGUGCUCUCUCCUGAAACCUCAGGGGAAAAAACAUAAUGAUCCAAACUAGAUUUAAACAAAUUAUGAUUCUUCUCCAAAUCAUUUCUGUAAUAAAUAUAAUUACUCUUCCUGUUAGUGCACUAGCAGGGAGCAGACAGAUCUUUGGAUGUGCUGAAUUGGAGCUGAUUAUCUUCAUGACUAACUGCAAAUCUGUCUUUGAGACCACGGUAUGCUGUAUUGGUCAUGUGCCUGAGAUGCUUAAGCAUACUUGGUCACAGUUUGCGCAGUGUUCUGUUCAUGCAAGCAGCUCCCAAUGCAAAUUUCUGUAAAGUAAAUGUUAAAAUUUGUUAAUUUGUCCUCUAACCAUGGCUUGCAGAAUUGGAUAAUGACCCUUUGGGUUUACUAUGAGAAGUGAACGUAUAAAAGAUGUGAAAAAGGCUUUUCAAUUGACAAUGCAAAUAUUAUAGAAAAAUUUAAGUUGGGGAGGGACCUCUUGCAGUCUCUAAACUGUCCUCCUGCUCAAAGUAGAGCUAAUUUAUGUGUUGCUCAGGGGUUUUUUUUGCAGUUGUUUCGAAAAUCUCAAAGGAUGGAGACUGGGCCUUGUCCCAGGACUGUACCACUCACUGGAAAGUUGUUUUCUUUAUGUCCCAACUGGAAUUUCCCUUGUUGCAGCUUAUGUCCAUUGCCUCUUGCCCUUUUACUGUGUAAGUCUGAGAAAAGUCUGGCUGUCCUCUAUAUCACUCUGCUUUUGGUAGUGGAAAACUGUAAUCAGAUCCCUCUGCAGCCUUCUCUUCUGCAGGCUGCGCAAACCCCGCUCCCCCAGCUUCUCCUCGUGCAUCAUGUGCUCCUGGCCCUCUUGGUGGCCUCAGCUGGGCUUGCUCUGAUCUGAUAAUAAACAUUAAAAAUUAACUAUUUUUUUCCACUGUUUCAUGCAGUUGCAGUUUCCUUGGGUAGCCUUCAGUCAAACUGAUGUUUGUCUUCGUAUGAGAUGGGGAUUUUGAACCAGUGGUGAAUGAUAAUUCUUUUAUCCGUCUGCCUGUGCUUUUCUCUCAUUUAUUUUUAUUUUUUUGUUAAGUCAUUGCCACUUGGAAAGUAUCAUCUUAAGCAUUCUUUCAUCAGUGCAGUACUUUCUCUUCCCCACAGCACUACUUGAGUGUUGGAUAAUACUUGGGGUGAAUAGAUUAUCUUGUCUUGCUAGACGUUUUCCUGUGAGGAUGCAGUCCUUACCUGUGAUGUCAUGGCUUAUUUCACUUGUGCUGUAAGACACGAUUCGCCCAUGUUUCUGUUCAUGUGACCUGAAUUCCUCACCAAGGUUCUGCAGCUUUAAAGAAUUUUCAAGAUAAUGUUUUCGGUUCUUCUCUUCCCUGGUUUGUUUCUAAAUCUCUUUUCUUCCAUACCACCUUCUCACCUUUUACUCAGGAGCUGAACUUUUGGAAAAGAGAGUAAUUGUUAUAUAAAAUAGUAAUUAUUUUCCUACUGUUCUACUUCUCAUAGUUAUUGUAUUCUGGAUGUUAGUUCAAAACCAAAUUUCAUUGCGCCUUAGCCCAGUCCAAUGAAAUGUGAACAGUAACAAAGAUACCUAUAACACUGCUGCUGACUUCAUUAUUGCAUUGGAUUGUCAUGGUGGGAAACUAACUUCCUGCAUGUGGAAGGGAGAAUAAGCACUACUAGGACACAUGUGCCUGAAUAGAGUAAGUCAGUGAAUUACAAUAAAGAGAAAUAAUUAAAAAAAUAAUAAUAAAAAAAUUUUAAACAGCUACAGGCCCAUCUAUAAGAAAUGUUGAGUGCUGUCUAGUGAGGUUACCAGUUUUGUAGAAGUCAUGCUCCUGAAUUUAGACAAGACACGAUACUUACCUAAAUCAAAGACGAAAUGUAGGACAUAGAACUUUUUACACCAAACUUUUCCAGAUGCAUUACCACCCUGAAAGAACAUCGAGUAAAAGUAGGCUUACAGAGAAGAGGAGAUGGAAUGCGUUGGCCAAAAAGCUUCAUCUUGGAGUUCUUCAAGAAAGGAUAGCGACAAUUGACACACAGAC